GUCAGGCGUGGUGGCGCACGCCUGUAAUCCCAGCUACUUGGGAGGCUGAGGCAGAAGAAUUGCUUGAAUCCAGGAGGCAGAGGUUGCAGUGAGCUGAGGUUGUGCCACUGCACUCCAGCCUGGGUGACAGAGCGAGACCCCGUCUCAA
This 148-nucleotide non-coding RNA is filed under the name Chlorocebus sabaeus (green monkey). The record is from Rfam by way of RNAcentral. Lineage: Eukaryota; Metazoa; Chordata; Mammalia; Primates; Cercopithecidae.